CUUCUUUGUCAAUUCCCCUGUCUCCUGAAUGUCUCAUUCUCAAACUCAUUUUGCUUGAAAUUGUGGUGGGAGAUGGUAUGUUUGAAACUUAAUAUGCUGAACACAGAACAGAAAUGUUGUGAAUUCAAGACAGAGCAUUGUUUCCUGCCAGAGUCUUUCUGGAAAAGGCAGUAGUGCUAAGGCAGGGUUUCUCUCAGAAAUACAGCGAGCCCUGAAGGAUUUCUAUUGGGUAGGUUUCAGUAAAAAUGAUGAAUCAAUAUUGUUUUUAU
Molecule: long non-coding RNA, 269 nt
Filed under: Macaca mulatta (Rhesus monkey)
Lineage: Eukaryota; Metazoa; Chordata; Mammalia; Primates; Cercopithecidae
Description: lncRNA (ENSMMUG00000051108.1)
Source: RNAcentral